Non-coding RNA from Felis catus (domestic cat), 85 nucleotides. The record is from Rfam. Lineage: Eukaryota; Metazoa; Chordata; Mammalia; Carnivora; Felidae.
GCCUGGGUGGCUCAGUCGGUUGAGCCUCUGACUUCGGCUCAGGUGAUGAUCUCAUGGUUCGUGAGUUCGAGCCCCGUGUCGGGCU